AAAUAAACAAACAGAACAGAAACAGACUCAUAAUACAGACAACAGACUGAUGGAUGCCAGAGGAGAAGGUAGUUGGGGGACUGGGUGAAAAGGUGAAG
Myotis davidii is the source of this 98-nucleotide long non-coding RNA. RefSeq lists it as uncharacterized. The transcript is spliced from 3 exons. Lineage: Eukaryota; Metazoa; Chordata; Mammalia; Chiroptera; Vespertilionidae. The record is from RefSeq and is a predicted model, not a curated record.